GCCGGAAUCGCUAGUAAUCGCGGAUCAGAAUGCCGCGGUGAAUACGUUCCCGGGUCUUGUACACACCGCCCGUCACACCAUGGGAGUCGGAAAUGCCCGAAGCCGGUGAACCCAACCCGAAAGGGAGGGAGCCGUCGAAGGCAGGUCGGAUGACUGGGGUGAAGUCGUAACAAGGUAUC
Molecule: ribosomal RNA, 179 nt
Filed under: uncultured bacterium
Lineage: Bacteria
Description: partial 16S ribosomal RNA
Rfam family: Bacterial small subunit ribosomal RNA
Source: RNAcentral